AGCGAACGCUGGCGGCAGGCUUAACACAUGCAAGUCGAACGGGCUUCUCGGAAGUCAGUGGCAGACGGGUGAGUAACACGUGGGAACGUGCCCUUCGGUUCGGAAUAACUCAGGGAAACUUGAGCUAAUACCGGAUACGCCCUUUUGGGGAAAGGUUUACUGCCGAAGGAUCGGCCCGCGUCUGAUUAGCUUGUUGGUGGGGUAACGGCCUACCAAGGCGACGAUCAGUAGCUGGUCUGAGAGGAUGAUCAGCCACACUGGGACUGAGACACGGCCCAGACUCCUACGGGAAGCAGCAGUGGGGAAUAUUGGACAAUGGGCGCAAGCCUGAUCCAGCCAUGCCGCGUGAGUGAUGAAGGCCUUAGGGUUGUAAAGCUCUUUUGUCCGGGACGAUAAUGACGGUACCGGAAGAAUAAGCCCCGGCUAACUUCGUG
RNAcentral lists this ribosomal RNA (434 nucleotides) under uncultured bacterium. RNAcentral describes it as "partial 16S ribosomal RNA". It matches the Rfam family "Bacterial small subunit ribosomal RNA", at positions 29 to 507 of the family's 1533-position model. The record is from RNAcentral.